RNAcentral lists this microRNA precursor (102 nucleotides) under Pelobates cultripes (western spadefoot toad). Lineage: Eukaryota; Metazoa; Chordata; Amphibia; Anura; Pelobatidae. The record is from RNAcentral.
CGGCACUCCAGAUGUUUUGGACUACACUUCCUUUGAUGCUUUGCCAGCCUUAUGGGUGUAAGAGCAUUAUGGGGGAUGCAGUCCACAACAUCUGGAGUGCUG